This 301-nucleotide ribosomal RNA is filed under the name uncultured bacterium. RNAcentral's name for it is "partial 16S ribosomal RNA". It matches the Rfam family "Bacterial small subunit ribosomal RNA", at positions 509 to 809 of the family's 1533-position model. The record is from RNAcentral.
CAGCAGCCGCGGUAAUCCGAAGGGGGCUAGCGUUGCUCGGAAUGACUGGGCGUAAAGGGCGCGUAGGCGGUUUUGACAGUCAGAUGUGAAAUUCCUGGGCUUAACCUGGGGGCUGCAUUUGAGACGUCAAGACUAGAGUGUGAGAGAGGGUUGUGGAAUUCCCAGUGUAGAGGUGAAAUUCGUAGAUAUUGGGAAGAACACCGGUGGCGAAGGCGGCGACCUGGUCCUUGACUGACGCUGAGGCGCGAAAGCGUGGGGAGCAAACAGGAUUAGAUACCCGCGUAGUCCCUGUCUCUUAUAU